AGUAUGAGUCCUUAAGGUACGUAAGAUCUUUCACUGGUGAGAUACUGACGGUAUCCUGAGACGAAGCACGCGUACUUCUGUCUGCAGACCCAGCUAUUAUCGAAUGAGAGCUCAGCGUGUUUCCGUAUAUUUCUGAGCUUAUAGAGCACGUACGGCGGGUAUUCUAAAUCUGUGGUGAAAAUACCUGCAGCUCACCUGCUGUAACUGCGCUUGAUAAUGUGGUAUCUUGAGUGUGGAAGAGAUGAGUGGAGUUCUGCGAGUAGAGGUGAAAUAUGUAUAUAUUUUGAGGAGCACCACUGCCGAGGAGGGGGUCUCUAGUCCAUAACUGACGCUGAGGUGCGAAAGCGUGGGGAGCAAACACAGAUUAGAUAUCCUGGUAGUGCACGCCGUAAACGAUGAAAGUUAGCCGUCGGGCAGUUUACUGUUCGGUGGGGCAGCUAACGCAUUAAACAAUCCGCUUGGGGAGUGCGGUCGCACGAUUAAAAAUCAAAGAAAUUGACGGGGGGGGGCACAAGCGGUGGAGCAUGUGGUUUAUUUUGAUGCAACGCGCAGAACGUUACCAGCUCUUUCCAUCCCGAUUGUGGACAGUGGAGACAUUGUCCUUUACUUAUGGGGGGUCGGUGACAGGUGUUGCACGGGGGUUUUCACCUCGUGUCGUGAGAUGUUGGGUUAAAUGUCCCAACAAGCGCAACCCUCGUCCUUUUUUGUCACCAUUCACAUGGGCGCUCUAUGGGGGGACCCGGUGAUAAAACGCGAGGAAAGGGGGGAUGACGUCAAAUCCUCAUGGCCCCUUCGGGCUGGGGUACACACGUGCUACAAAGGUGGGGACAAAGGGCAGAGAGACCCCGAGGUCGAACUAAUUUCCAAAAACCCUAUCACUUCGGAUUGCACUGUGCAAAUCUAGUGCACGAAAAGGGAAUCUCUAUUAAUAGCAGAUCACCACGUUGCGGGGAAUACGUUCCCGGGCCUUGUACACACCGCCCGUCACACCACGGGAGUUGUUUUUACCCGAAGACGUUGCGCUAACACCCAAGGGAGGCAGGCGACCACGGUAGGGUCAGGACUGGGGUGAAGUCGUAACAAG
This 1084-nucleotide ribosomal RNA is filed under the name Rhizobium sp. R53-2. RNAcentral describes it as "bacterial SSU rRNA". It matches the Rfam family "Bacterial small subunit ribosomal RNA", at positions 427 to 1495 of the family's 1533-position model. Lineage: Bacteria; Pseudomonadati; Pseudomonadota; Alphaproteobacteria; Hyphomicrobiales; Rhizobiaceae. The record is from RNAcentral.